This is a long non-coding RNA of Cuculus canorus (common cuckoo), 908 nucleotides long. RefSeq lists it as uncharacterized. Lineage: Eukaryota; Metazoa; Chordata; Aves; Cuculiformes; Cuculidae. The transcript is spliced from 3 exons. The record is from RefSeq and is a predicted model, not a curated record.
CGAGAAGAAGCAAAAAUCCUCAUCCCAGACCCGAGAGGCUCUGGCAUCGCCUUCGAGGGAGGGCAGCGGCUUCGCCCACCGGAUUAUGCUUCAAAAGUGAUGUUUUUAAAAUUGUGCCAUGGAGCGUGAGCCUGAAAUGCACUAAAAUUAAAGGAAAACCCCAAGAAAACGGGUUUGGUGGCCACUAACGAUGGAGAAAAAUGCUAUGUCUCAGAGCUUUGGCACCUCUGCCUAAAUGUUUAGAUCCUCCCGACGCCUCCGUGUCGACGUUAGCGGCAAAACACAAGGCGAGCCCCACAAUGCGACGCCGCGCAAGCAGGUGGGGCUUUGUGUCGGCUGCUUAUUAGCAGAGCUAUUUUUAUUAAGAGUGGGUGGAGGUGGGGGGAGAAGGAGGUGAGGAGAGAGCUUGGUGAGACACGAUAGGUUGUCUCCAGGGUUCUCACUGGGUGUAAAGCUGCAGAGAUUCUUUGUAGAGCGAUAGCCACGAGGGUGUCUUCUUCCCACGGAGCUGCGGUGGCACUGAGCACCGAUGUCCCACUGAUGAGCUCACGCUCCAGCUCUUUUCCCAUCAUAGAAGAAUAGUUAGGGUUGGAAGGGACCUUGAAGAUCAUCUCCUUCCAACCCCAUUCACGGACGCAGCGAUGGGAGAGCAAAACCUCGAGGUGCACAAAGCAGAAGGCAAAGUUAUUUCCCCAUCCCUUGGCCGCAGCUCAACUUAUUGGAGUGAAUAUUAAUAGCCCCGAGACAGCCGCUCACCCCCGAACUCUGCCUCCGAGUCUCCCAUGUAGCGAAAGCAGAAAUAGAUUCCCGAUGAAUAAUUUACUCCGCUUUCUUUUGAUUUGCGUUCUGAUUGUACACAGCGGUGCAGGCUCGGAGGGGGGGGGAAGAAACCCAUGUUCUGAUUAAAG